GAUCUGGUCAAGGGCCCACACUCCCCCAGAGCACUCCAGGAUUUUGAGACGAAAUAAAUAAAUAAGGCCUUGAGAAAAAUGUAAACGAGCUUUACCUUUAAAGAGUUGUGCUGGAAACUCGGAUGAGACCCAUCAAGAGGAGAUUCUGAAAAUCUCACGGCCAGGUGCGGUGGCUCACGCCUGAAGAUUACGCCAGCACUUUAGGAGGCCGAGGCAGGCGGAUCAUGAGGUCAACAUUUCGAGACCAGCCUGGCCAGCAUGGUGAAACCUCGUCUCUACUAAAAAUGCAAAAAAAAUAGCGGGGCAUGGUGACGCGCGCCUGUAAUCCCAGCUACUCGGCAGGCUAAGGCAGGAGAAUUGCUGAACCCGGGAGGCAGAGGUUGCAGUCAAGAUGGUGCCAUUGCACUCCAGCCUGGAUGAUGGGGCAAGACCAUCUCAGAAAAAAAAAAUAAAAGAAAAUCUCACAGCCUAGGUCCACACUCCCCUUGACAUCAGUCUCCCACUUCAGACCAGGCCCCUUAGUUCCUCCACUUCACUCAUUUUACUGACUGCCUACAGGAGAUCGAGUUUUCCAUCCCUAAUUAGACAAAUAAAUUAAGAAGAUAAUUUUUACUGAAUACCUAUUACAUGCCAGACACUGUGCUAUGCACUUAAAUGGGUUAAUUCAUUGGAUCCUCAUUACAGCACAUAACAACCCUAUGGGUUGGAUGGCAUUCUGAGCCCCAAUUUGCAAAGGUGGAAACUGAGGCAUAGAGUGACCUGCCCAAGGUGACACAUCAGUAAGUGGCAGUGUUGGAUUCCAACACUGACAGAGCUUUCUUUCUUAACCACACCCACCCACUGCCGCAUUGAGAAUCACUGAGAAUGCAGUGUAUGCUAGGGAUCUUGAAUUAUAAAGGAGUGCCUCUCAGGUGGAAUUCAUGGCAAUUCAUCCUUCCUGGUGACAGUUCAGGUAAAGUAGUGGGUGGGGAAAAUAUUACCGGGUGGGGAUCAUCCCAACAUUCCUUGUGUGCACACACGAUUACAUGGCCAUCUUCUCUAGGUGGGUAUUAAGAGAGCCAAAUGAUGCCUGCUGUUUGAUUUUAUUCUAAAGUUAUCCAUUGGAAGCCCUCCCACUAACCAGGCUCUUGUCAUGUAAUCCUCAAGACAAUGAGCAAGGAUGGGUAGGUUUUACAGACGAGGACACUGAGGCUCAGAGAAAACAGUUCACCCAAGCAAGUCACAUGGGCUAAAGGUGGGGCAGGGCUGGAGUCAGGAUUCCUGGAAGAGAAUGUGGUCACCUCCUUCAGGAUUACUGCUGUCUGUCUAAGAACAGGGCUCAACCUAGAAACACAUCACAACAGCAGAGGGGGUCGAAGCAAUAUAGGGACAUGUCACAGGGAGAAAUUAACUUCCAAAAGCACAAAGGACUUCCUCAAAAAAGAAGCUUUUGACUAGGGCCUUGGAGAAAGAACAGCACUUCCACAGAUAGCCAUGAAGAGAAAGGUAUCCUGGGCAAAGUCUGGCAUGAGGGAAGGCUGGCAUGAGGAAAGUGCGGGUCUCAGCCAGACUCCAGAACAGGUGUGUCUCUCAUACAAAUGAUAUAUAAAGGGUUAUGGCUUGGGCCCUUAUCCCCCUCCCCUCCAAUUUCAUUUUUGUCUUUUUGCUUAUUAAUGCCAAGAAUGUACCUUGUAUAGAGCUUAACUUGAACGCUCUUAUAAGUAGGAUUUCAUUAGCUCCUCUAAACAGCCCUGAAAGGUAGUUAGGGUAGGUGGGUAGGUAGGCAGAGAUUAUACAACUGACACCAAAAGAUUUCAAAUAAAUGCCUAUUGAAUAAAUGAAUGAAUGAAUGGCUUGCCCAAGGCCACCAGCACUAAAUGGGAGAAUAGGGACUAAGUCUCAUUUUGCUGCCUCCAAAUCCCAAACUCUUUUCAGUACCGUACACAUCUGGGGGCCUUAGCAGUGCCAUUGUGUGUGUGUAUUGGGGGGUAGGGAAUUAGAUUCAUUAUUGUGUUUUAUACUGUGCUGAUCACUUGAAAAAACUCCGGGCAGGAGAACAAUACAAGCAUUCAUUAAAGUACUUCAAUAGACUGACAGCAGCAACAAUAACCUAAAGUUAAAUGAAGCAGAGAAUCUCAUGUGAGUCUUCUCUUGAGGAGUCCAGUGCCAAGGCACCAGGCCUUCAGGAAGUAGAAUGGGACUCCCCAGAAGAAAGACAAAGCAGAGAUUUACCAAACCUUGUUGGGGGUCGGAGACAGCAGGCUAGGAGGAUCCCCACCAGCCAGGCAACAAAACCCUAGGACCACAGUCCUCUGGGCAGCUUCCAAAAGCCUCCACAGUUCAUGAGUAGCUGUAAUUUACUAGUAACCA
RNAcentral lists this long non-coding RNA (2349 nucleotides) under Callithrix jacchus (white-tufted-ear marmoset). RNAcentral's name for it is "lncRNA (ENSCJAG00000056287.2)". Lineage: Eukaryota; Metazoa; Chordata; Mammalia; Primates; Cebidae. The record is from RNAcentral.